Prunus persica (peach) is the source of this 1318-nucleotide long non-coding RNA. RefSeq lists it as uncharacterized. The transcript is spliced from 2 exons. NCBI's taxonomy places the organism in Eukaryota, Viridiplantae, Streptophyta, Magnoliopsida, Rosales, Rosaceae. The record is from RefSeq and is a predicted model, not a curated record.
UAUGACACUGAGCUGAUAAAAUAAAAGUCGAAUGGUCACUUCUUCCACUUUCUUCAGGCUUUUAUUCUUUUUCUUUUUGUGUGAGUCCCGUGAGUGAACAAUUGCUAUGUUGUCUAUAGCCAACUAACAUUCAAGUUCAACACAAAAUCAAACCCCACACCCACCAAACCAAACCUCUCUAUAUUGAAAAGCCCCUAUAAAUUAUCACCCUCCGAGGUUUUCAUCUCAUCUUCAACUUCAGAUAUUUGGCACCCCACAGAACCAACCUCCUCCUCCGCUUCUUCUUCUUCUACUAACCCAGACAGCUACUCUCUCUCUCUCUCUCUCUCUCUCUCUCUCUCUCUCAAAGGAGAAAGUUGAAUUGUGCUUGUGUCUGGCCUAAGGCAACCGUUUUGCCAGCAACGCAGCAGAAUGAGUAAGGCUAUUUUGAGUGAUAUAGUUAAACUCAAAAAGGAGGAGGGCUGCCAACAAGCUUUUUGGCAUGGGUGGUGUAGGAAAGAAAUAGUUGUUGUAAAGAAAGUGUUGGAGCUCAUAUAAAAAAAAAGACGAAAAUAUAAUAUUUAUGUGGUAAAGCUAAUAAGUGGAGCCCAUAUGUUAGAAGGAAAUUUCUUUGCACCUUCAGAUAUUUUCCUUUCUCUAGCUAAGGCCGUUGCCUAUAAAAUAAAGCUUCCUUCUCAUUUGUAAAAUACAUAAGAAAGCUUUAAUGAAAACAUCACAUUUCUAUUACAGCCUAAUUUCUCUAUAUUCUCUCUAUAAUUUCUUUAGUUUUAUAACAAUUCAAAAGGCAAAUGAUGAUGUUGGGCAAAUAAUGUUGCUAGACGUAGGAGGCAAUACAAAGGCUUCUCAAGCCUUCCUUGCUCAACUAUAAAAGGGAGGCUAGUUCCUUAUUUGGAAUGCAAGCCGAGAGGUAGUAAGAAGAAGUGAGAAGUGAGAACAUGCUGAGUUGAGAGAAGAAAAGAGGGUGAGAAAUCUGAGCGUUAGUGAGUUCUAUCUGAGAGGAAAUUCUGUCAGUGUAAACACCACAAGAGCAAAUACAAUUAUACUCCCAGCUCAACACCACGUGGUUAUUUCUCUGUCUCCUCUCUGUCAUAUGUCUCCUCUCACUUUACUACUACGACGACAUGCAAACUUUCUUUUUUGUGUUCUCACAAUUUUUAUGUUGUUUCAUCCAUGUUUAUUUAAUUUAUUUUUUCAUACAGUAAUUUGGAAUGGUGCGGUUUUAUACCCCAUCCUGUUAUUUUAUAGUGGUAUAAUUUCAUUGCCCAUCACGUUGUAACACAUAUUAUCGUAAUAAAAAUGAUGGUGUGAUCUUAAAACA